Molecule: ribosomal RNA, 474 nt
Filed under: uncultured prokaryote
Description: bacterial SSU rRNA
Rfam family: Bacterial small subunit ribosomal RNA
Source: RNAcentral
UCGAACGAGAAANNUUUCUUCGGAGAACGAGUAAAGUGGCGCACGGGUGAAUAACGCGUAAGUAAUCUACCCUUGCAUUUGGGAUAACUACGGGAAGCUGUAGCUAAUACCGGAUACGUUCAUAGAGUUACGACUCUAUGAAGAAAGAUGACCUCUUCUUGAAAGUUAUCGUGCAGGGAGGAGCUUGCGUACCAUUAGCUAGUUGGUAGGGUAAUGGCCUACCAAGGCGACGAUGGUUAGCGGGUCUGAGAGGAUGAUCCGCCACACUGGAACUGAAACACGGACCAGACUCCUACGGGAGGCAGCAGUGAGGAAUAUUGCGCAAUGGGGGAAACCCUGACGCAGCGACGCCGCGUGGAUGAUGAAGGCCUUCGGGUCGUAAAAUCCUGUCAGAUGGGAAGAAAUGUAUGAGGGAAUAAUACCUCUUGUGCUUGACGGUACCUCAAAGGAACACCGGCUAACUCCGUGCAGCAG